Molecule: long non-coding RNA, 1045 nt
Organism: Diospyros lotus (date-plum)
Lineage: Eukaryota; Viridiplantae; Streptophyta; Magnoliopsida; Ericales; Ebenaceae
Exons: 2
Source: RefSeq, a predicted model, not a curated record
CAUUUGCUUGUUGAAGAUAAGGAUUAGAAAUUUAACUAAGUACCCUUGAAAGUAAGGGAAAGGGAAGUUUCCAGGAAAUUUUGCAGGAAGAUCACUAUCAAAACAAUCCACAGUAAUGACAAAGCAAUCCACGGUAUAAAUCCUAACGGCAGCUUCGGAUAUGGAUCAUAUCAUACAAGGGUUACUCAGUCAUGGCAAGGUACUUUGAUAUUGUGUCUAGCUCCGACGAUGGGGUUGAGCCGGGUCUUACGUUUUAUCUUUGCUUGAUCGUCUUAUCCGCAUCAAUCAUGUCUAUGGUCAUCUUGUCUUGUGGUAUCUGCUUUGAAGAAUCACCCACAAAGGGCCGUCGUGGCCGGGCGCCGGGGACGUCGGGGGCGGCAGCGGCAGCGGCUGGGGCAGCGGCGUCGACAGCGACCACAAGCAGCGGAGGCGGAUGUUGACAUGUGGAUGUAGUGAUGAUGCAAGAAUCAACUAUCAAUUAAAUUUGUACAUGAUUUGAGUAAGACUUUGACCACAUGAGCAAAUGAGAGGGAUUGGAAUCCUAAAAUAAUAUAGCUAAGAUGAUACCAUUUUGAUGUUGAAGUUAGAAGGAAAUUCUAAGAAUUGAGAAUAAUGAGAACUACAAUGAAUGUCAUGCUUUUAGUUUACCCGAUGAAAUUUUUUUUUUUUAUAGUUUUUAGAAUGAGUUUUGUGAUGAGGAUGAUCAACCUUGUCUAUAUUGUAAAAGAUUAAUUAAUUCUCCCUUAUUUCACGAGUUCAACAUUGAGUUGAACUAUGUUUGCUUGAGUCGAUGUUAUUGAUCUUAUCCUAGGGUGGUGGAGAUUAGGGCACGUGACAUUAAUAGAGUUUUGAGAUGUCAAUUCCCUAAUUCUUUCAGCUAUGAUUGGAUUUAUUUAUCCUUAAAUGAUACAAAUUGCCUUGAGUUAAAGGCUGAGCAAAUUGGUCUUCAAGGACUUCUCUGGUUUAGAAUGUAAUUGUAGUAUUGAGCAAAUAAUAUUUGCACUUAUCCUUCUUGGAGUAUCUUUAGGACUUCAUCUUCUAUUUC